CGUACAUCCAGAGAACUUAGCAGAGAUGCUUUGGUGCCUUCGGGAACUCUGAGACAGGUGCUGCAUGGCUGUCGUCAGCUCGUGUUGUGAAAUGUUGGGUUAAGUCCCGNAACGAGCGCAACCCUUAUCCUUUGUUGCCAGCGGUUCGGCCGGGAACUCAAAGGAGACUGCCGGUGAUAAACCGGAGGAAGGUGGGGAUGACGUCAAGUCAUCAUGGCCCUUACGGCCAGGGCUACACACGUGCUACAAUGGCGCAUACAAAGAGAAGCGACCUCGCGAGAGCAAGCGGACCUCAUAAAGUGCGUCGUAGUCCGGAUUGGAGUCUGCAACUCGACUCCAUGAAGUCGGAAUCGCUAGUAAUCGUAGAUCAGAAUGCUACGGUGAAUACGUUCCCGGGCCUUGUACACACCGCCCGUCACACCAUGGGAGUGGGUUGCAAAAGAAGUAGGUAGCUUAACCUUCGGGAGGGCGCUUACCACUUUGUGAUUCAUGACUGGGGUGAAGUCGUAACAAGGUAAGCGUAGUGCU
This 528-nucleotide ribosomal RNA is filed under the name uncultured bacterium. Its description in RNAcentral is "bacterial SSU rRNA". It matches the Rfam family "Bacterial small subunit ribosomal RNA", at positions 981 to 1509 of the family's 1533-position model. The record is from RNAcentral.